GACGAACCGUGCGAACGUUAUUCGGAUUCACUGGGCUUAAAGCGCGUGUAGGCGGGCCGGCACGUCGGAUGCUGAAAGCCCCCGGCUCAACCGGGGAACGGGCACCGAUACGACCGGCCUGGAGGGGGGUAGGGGGAGCCGGAACUUCCGGUGGAGCGGUGAAAUGCGUUGAGAUCGGAAGGAACGCCCGUGGCGAAAGCGGGCUCCUGGACCCCACCUGACGCUGAGACGCGAAAGCCAGGGGAGCAAACGGG
This 254-nucleotide ribosomal RNA is filed under the name uncultured bacterium. Its description in RNAcentral is "partial 16S ribosomal RNA". It matches the Rfam family "Bacterial small subunit ribosomal RNA", at positions 524 to 776 of the family's 1533-position model. The record is from RNAcentral.